AAAGGAGAAGCUAGCACAGGCCCUCUCCAGGGGAAUUAGAGACUAAGGACUAUCAAACUACCACUUUCCUCAAGAGGAAUCUACAAACAGUCAAACAAAGACAAAGUCAUUGCUAGGAAUUUUUUGGUUGUGGCUUAGUAUAGAUCUGCCUUUGAUGAGACUUUAACUUGAAAUUUCUGCAUAUCCCCUAGUUAAAUGCACCCUGCUGCUUCUAUGGUGAACAUUCAAGGGAAUCAGAACUCCCACUCCUUCUAAAAAGCUGUAGCUCCCCAAGAGUUAAGUUUCAAAGACCGUAUGUAAACCACAAUACUAGUUUCAGAUUCAGCUGUACAAAUAAAGUACAAUAUUGAAACACAAUGAAGAUGAAUGUUGAGAUUUUUAAGAAAUUUAUCUGCCCAUUGUAACUAUGUGGAUUAAUCUCCUGCUUAGAAAGAUCUUAAUUAUAAACAAUAAAUAAAAUCAAUUUUUUCCUUCUUUCUCUAUGCUAAUUUAUCAUCUAUGAGAAAUAUUCCAGAAACGAUUUUUAUACUUAAUGGAUAUUGGUGGAAGAUAAAUUAUUUAUAAGUUGAAUUUUUAAAAGGAGCUUUUAAAAUAUUACUGUACUUACACGCCCUCAUAAAGAAAAUAUCUUCAGCUUUCAGUCUCUGAAGGAACAAAAUCAAAACCGCUUGAACAAGUAUCCCGGCUGGAGGAAAAACUGGAGCUGUGAACCACAAGGAAGCCCGUGAGGAACCAUAUGAAAAAAUGCUACUUGCAAAAGACCAGUGCAUCGAGAAAUUGCAAGCUGAAGUAAAAGCUUCCCAGGAGCAACUUAUAGCCCAUGUAAGUAUUUCCCUCCUUUUUCCAUUCCUUUAUUUAUAUCAUCGUUAACUUGGAAAUGAAUAGAACUUGGAAAAAAGUUAUAAAUGAGUUUUGUCUGCUGCAAACCAAAUCACAAAGCUAAAAAUUAGUAUUUUUACUGCCUCUGCACAGUUUCUUGAUUUUUGUAGGUGAUAAAACUUCCAAACUGAGCUCUUAUGUGUAAUCAGAUGGUCUAGUCAGGGGCUAUCAGAGGAAGAGAACCGGAAACUCAGGGCAGAAAGAUGAAGAAGCCAGCCCAUUUUGGGGAUUAGGUUGAAGUGGAGAGAUGUGUCAAUUGUUGACCCAUCAGAUAAAGGUCUAGAGCAGUGCUUCUUAAACUUUACUGUAUGUAAGAACAACCCGAAAGCCUCUUAAAACAAAUUGCUCAGAGAUUCUGUUUCCUCCAUGCAUAGGGUGGGCCUGGAAAUUUGCACUUUUGGGUAAUUAUAGAUUCAGGCAAUGCUGACACUGCCAGUCUUUCAGGACACAUUUAAGUAACAUUGUUUUUUAU
This 1351-nucleotide long non-coding RNA is filed under the name Callithrix jacchus (white-tufted-ear marmoset). RNAcentral describes it as "lncRNA (ENSCJAG00000067865.2)". Lineage: Eukaryota; Metazoa; Chordata; Mammalia; Primates; Cebidae. The record is from RNAcentral.